RNAcentral lists this long non-coding RNA (7944 nucleotides) under Homo sapiens (human). RNAcentral's name for it is "HSALNT0319268". The record is from RNAcentral. Lineage: Eukaryota; Metazoa; Chordata; Mammalia; Primates; Hominidae.
GCACCCUGGAGCGCCGCCCUCGGGUUUCGGUCUCCUGGAUCUGCGGGUCGGUCUCGGCGGGCGGAUUACUCCUCGCCCACAACCUCGAGGCCCCGGGGUCAACCGCGCCCUCCGGGCCGGCAACCCAGGGUUUAGUCAGAUUCCUCCUGACCCACCGCUUCUGGGAAAGAGGCGCCUCCCGUCAGGAGGAUGCUGAGUUCCUCAUGACUGGACCAGUGAGUGUCCACUCCCUGGUCCCUGGCGAGAGAGGCGGGACCCCCACGCCCUCCUGGCGCUCUUUGCAGAGAUGUUCCUCAGGCCCAAUCCGGGAUUUGGGAUGUCUGUGCGUGCUGUGGAGCAGAGAGUUUGCAACAUGUAAGUGCCGUGCGUGAGGAAGAGUAAAAUUAACCUAUGGAGCCUGCUCAUUUUUAAUGUGGAGGGCAGUUCCGUUCCUUUCUUUCGCCGCUUCGAGGUCAUUUUAACACUCAAAUCUAACAUAUAAGAAAAAAAGCCAGGCAUAAUCAUGGCCUUUUAUUUCCCUCAUUAAGGAUUACAUCAGGUGACAUAAGCCAUUUUAACAUACAUCAUGAAGAAAGUGAUUAGUAAUUUAUAAAGGCACAUUAAAAUACCAUAUAAAUUACGGUUUUCUUGAUAGGAUCAUGAUGGUGACUUUAAGAAAGUGGUUGAAUGUGGAUGAAACAGUUUGCUGUGGAUUGUAGCACGUGUGGCAGGAUAUGUAGGCUUGUUGGUUGGUUGUUUUGAGACGGAGUCUCCCUCUUGUCGCCGAGGCUGGAGUGCAGUGGUGCGAUCUCGGCUCACCUCAACCUCCUCCUUCCAGAUUCAAACGAUUCUCCUGCCUCAGCCUCCCGAGUAGCUGGGAUUACAGGCGCCCACAACCAUGCCCGGCUAAUUUUUAUAUUUUUAAUAGAGACCGGGUUUUGCUAUGUUGACCAGGCUGGUCUCAAACUCCUGACCUCAGGUGAUCCGCCCGUCUCGGCCUCCCAAAGUGCUGGGAUUACAGGUGUGAGCCACUGUGCCUGGCCAGUAUAUGUAGGCUUUCUGCAUUCUAUGCAGUUCAGUUCAUUCAUCCAACAAAUAUUUAAUGCCUGUUGUGUGUCAGACGUUAUCCUAAAGACUGAAGAUGCAAAAGGGAUUAAGACUCAAUUCCUUUGGCCAGGCACGGUGGUUUACGCCUGUAAUCCCAGCACUUUGGGAGGCCAUAGCGGGCGGAUCACCUGAGGUCAGGAGUUCCAGACCAGCCUGGCCAACAUGGUGAAACCCCGGCUCCACUAAAAAUACAAAAAGUUAGCCGGGUGAGGCGGUGGGCACCUGUAAUCCCAGCUGCUCAGGAGGCUCCCUGUUGCAGUGAGCCGAGAUCACACCACUGCCCUGCAGCCUGGGGAACAGAACGAGACACUGUCUCAGAAAAAUAACCAAACAAAAAAGACUCAUUUCCUUCUUGCAAAGCUCACAGGUUGGGUAGAAGAGAUAUGUAAACAAGUAAUUGCACUAGAUAUGACAAGUACAUCUUUUUGAACAUACAUAGAUUUAAGUUAUCUAAUACAGUUUGCUUUGUAAUAAAAACCACUUAUCUUAGUCCCUUCAUUUUGAAUUCAACAUUUUUCUAUUUAGUAUUCACCUCACAUUCUUUUUUAGUAUUUUGGUAGAAUCAGACUCUUCAAAACGGUUAAUAGGAUUUCAGAAAUUAAGUCAAUUUUCAGUGCCAGCUAGAAUGGACCUUUGGAUUUAGGACAGAGGUUCUCCAAAUGUGAGCUGGGGACUGUAGACAAUCUCCGAGGUUCUUUCUGGGAUCCAUGAGGUCAAAAAGUUUUCAUGUGUUACUUGCUUUUUUCACUCUUGUUCUCUCAGAAGUGUACAAUGAAGUUUUGUGGAGACUAUAAUGUGCUAUCAAAGCAAAUAGAAUUAAGCUGUUUUUUAAGUCAGAUAUUAGAGAUUUACAAAAAUGUAAAACAAUGCCAAUCUUAUCUUUUGUUUUUAAAAUAUAGUAAUUUUUCAUUAAAAUAUGAUAUUUAUGUUAACAUGUAAUGGGCUUAUUGUCAAUUUUAAGGAAUUAAUCUUUUAUAUAUAAUUUAUCAGUUUUCAUUUCUAAUAUGGUAAAUACCAAUAGUUACAAUCCACAUGAAAAAAACUUCUUUGAGUCUUCAAUUUUUAAACAUGCCAAGGGGUCUUGAUACUACAAACUUUGAGAACUGCCAAGGUAGGCUAGUUAUUUUCAAAUUAUGUUUCAUGGAGCCCUGAAUCCUCUGGUAGUGUGUCAGAAAUCUGUGAGGAUAGAGAAUCAGUAGGAAGUUAAAGACAAGGCUCUGGGUUCCCACAUCUCCCCGUCUUCUCUAAUGGCAGUUCAAUUUUUCUCUGUUUAUCUGGUUUUUUGUUUUUUGCUUUUUGUUUUUUUUUUCUUGAGACGGAGUCUCGCUCUGUCAUCCAGGCUGGAAUGCAGUGGUGCAAUCUUAGCUCACUGCAACCUCCACCUCCCAGGUUCAAAAGAUUCUCCUGCUUAGGCCUCCCAAAUAGCUGGGACUACAGGUGCGCACCACCACAUCACGCUAAUUUUUGUGUUUUUAGUAGAGACAGGGUUUUGCCAUGUUGGCCGGGCUGGUCUCAAACUCCUGACUUCAGGUGAUCCACCUGCCUUGGCUUCCCAAAGUGCUGGGAUUACAGGCAUGAGCCAUCAUGCCUGGCCUGUUUAUCUGCUUUUUGUAUCAAUUAGGUGGAGACUCUCAAACUUCAAUUCUUGACUACUGUGUACCUACAGGCUCAACACCAAGUGGAAGCUGCCAAGGCUUGGGGCUUCCACCCUCUGAAGCAAUAGCCCAAGCUAUGCCUCAGCCCCUUUUAGUUACAGCUGGGGCAGCUGGGACACAAGGCACCAAGUUCCUAGACUGCACACAGCAGAGGGAUCCUGGGCCCGGCCCACAAAACCAUUUUUUCUUCCUAAACCUCCAGGCCUGUGAUGGGAGGAGCUGCCAUGAAGAUCUCUGACAUGCCCGUUUUCCCCAUUGUCUUGGUGAUUAACAUUCGGAUCUUCCUUACUUAUGCAAAUUUCUACAGCUAGCUUGAAUUUCUCCUCAGAAAAUGAGAUUUUCUUUUCUGUCAUGUUGUCAGGCUGCAAAUUUUCCAAACUUUUAUGUUCUGUUUCCCUUAAAAACUGAAUGCCUUUAACAGCACCCAAGUCACCUCUUGAAUGCUUUGCUGCUUAGAAAUUUCUUCUGUCAGAUACCCUAAAUCAUCUCUCUCCAGUUCAAAGUUUCACAAAUCUCUAUGGCAGGGGCAAAGUGCCGCCAGCCUCUUUGCUAAAACAUAACAAAAGUCACCUUUGCUCCAGUUCCCAACAAGUUCCUCAUCUCCAUCUGAGACCACCUGAUUGGAUUUCAUUGUCCAUAUAAUUAUCAGCAUUUUUGUCAAAGCCAUUUAACAAGCCUCUAGGGAGUUCUAAACUUUCCUGCAUUUUCCUGUCUUCUUCUGAGCCCUCCAGACUGUUCCAACAUCUGGCUGUUAACCCAGUUCCAAAGUUGCUUCCAUAUUUUUGGAUAUCUUUUUAGCAGUGCCUCACUCUACUGGUACCAAUUUACUGUGUUAGUUCUUUUUCAUGCUGCUGAUAAAGACAUACCCAAGACUAGGAAAUUUACAAAAGAAAGAGGUUUAUUGGACUUACAGUUCCACAUGGCUGGGGAAGCCUCAUAAUCAUGGUGGAAGGUGAAAGUCAUGUCUCACAUGGCAGCAGACAAGAGAAGAGAGAACUUGUGCAGGGAAACUCUCAUUUUUAAAACCAUCAGAUCUCAUGAGACUUAUUCACUAUCACAAGAACAGCACGGGAAAGACCUGCCCCCAUGAUUCAAUUAUCAUCUGCCGGGUCCCUCUCACAACAUGUAGGAAUUAUGGGACCUACAAGAUGAGAUUUGGGUGGGGACACAGAGCCAGUCAUAGUAAGGUAUUGUUUGGGUAAAACAUAAGCCUUUCUUUCCUUUCUUUUUUUUUUUUUUACAGGGUCUCACUUUGUCACCCAGGCUGGAAUGCAUUGGCAUGAACACGUCUCACUGCAGCCUCAACCUCCCAGGCUGAAGUGACCCUCCAACUCUGCUUUCACAGUAGCUGUGAUAUGGUUUGGCUGUGUCCCCACCCACAUCUCAUCUUAAAACCCAGUGGGAGGUAAUUGAAUCAUGGGGGCAAGUCUUUCCUGUGCUGUUCUUGUGAUAGUGAAUAAGUCUCAUGAGAUCUGAUGGUUUUUAAAAGAGUUCUGGCUGGGCAUGGUGGUGGGCACCUGUAAUCCAAACUACUAGGGAGGCUGAGGCAGAGUGAAUUGCUUGAACCUGGGAGAAGGAGGUUGCAGUGAGCCGAGAUUGCACCGCUGCACUCCAGCCUGGGCAAAAUUGAAGACUCUGUCUCCAAAAAAAAAAAAAAGGAGUUCCUCUGCAUAAGCUCUCUCUCUUUGCCUGCUGCCAUCCAUGUAAGAUGUGACUUGCUCUUCCUUGCCCUAUGAUUGUGAGUCUUUCCCCAGCCACGUGGAACUGUAAGUCCAAAUAAACCUCUUUCUUUUGUAAAUUGCCCAGUCUUGGGUAUGUCUAUCAGCAGCAUGGAAAUGGACUAAUACAGUAAAUUGGUACCAGUAGAGUGGGGUGUUGCUGAAAAGAUACCUGAAAAUGUGAAAGUGACUUUGGAACUGGGUAGCAGGCAAACAUUGGAACAGUUUGGAGGGCUCAGAAGAAGACAGGAAAAUGUAGGAAAGUUUGGAACUUCCUAGAGACUUGUUGAAUGGCAUUGACAAAAAUGCUAAUAGUGAUACGAACAAUAAGAUCCAGUCUGAGGUGGUCUCAGAUGGAGAUGAGGAACUUGUUGGGAACUGGAGCAAAGGUGACUCUUGUUAUGUUUUAGCAAAGAGACUGGUGACAUUUUGCCCCUGCCCGAGAGAUUUGUGGAACUUUGAACUUGAGGGAGAUGAUUUAGGGUAUCUGGUGGAAGACAUUUCUUUUUUUUUUUUUGUGACGGAGUCUUGCAUUGUCGCCUGGGGUGGAGUGCAAUGGUCUGAUCUCAGCUUACUGGGUUCAAGCAAUUCUGUCUCAGCCUCCCGAGUAGCUGGGAUUACAGGCGUCCGCCACCACGCCCUUCUAAUUUUUUGUAUUUUUAGUAGAGACGGUUUCACUAUGUUGGCCAGUGGAAGACAUUUCUAAGCAGCAAAGCAUUCAAGAGGUGGCUUGGGUGUUGUUAAAGGCAUUCUGUUUUGACUGGGUGCGGUGGUGCACACCUAUAAUCCCAGCACUUUGGGAGGCCGAGGAGGGUGGAUCAAGAGGUCAGGAGUUCAAGACCAGCCUGGCCAAUAUGGUGAAACCCUGUCUCUACUGGAAAUACAAAAAUUAGCUUGGCAUGGUGGUGUGCGCCUGUAGUCCCAGCUUCUCGGGAGGCUGAGGCAGGAGAAUCGCCUGGACCCGGGAGGUGGAGGUUCCAUUGAGCCAAGAUCAUGCCACUGACUCCAGCCUGGGCAACAGACUGAGACUCUGUCUCAAAAAAAAAGAAAAAAAAAAAGGCAUUCAGUUUUAUAAGGGAAGCAGAGCAUAAAAGUUUGGGAAAUUUGCAGCCUGACAAUGUGAUAGUAAAGAAAAUCCCAUUUUCUGAGAGGAAAUUCAAGCUGGCUGCAAAAAUUUGCAUAAGUACCAAGGAGCCGAAUGUUAAUAUCCAAGACAAUGGGGAAAAUAUCUCCCAGACAUGUCAGAGGUCUUCAUGGCAGCCCCUCCCAUCAACAGGUCCAGAGGCCUAGGAGGAAAAAGUGGUUUUGUGGGCAGCACCCAGGGUCCCCAUGCUAUGUGCAGCCUAGGGACUUGGUGCCGUGCGUCUCAGCUCCUCCAGUGGUGACUGAAAGGGGCCAACAUAGAGCUCGGGCUGCUGCUUCAUGGGGUGGAAGUCCCAAAUCUUGGCAGCUUCCAUGUGGUGUUGAGCCUGCGAGUACAUAGAAGUCAAGAAUUGGGGUUUGGGAACCUCCAUCUAGAUUUCAGAAGAUAUAUGGAAAUUCCUGGAUGCCCAGGCAGAAGUUUGCUGUAGGGGUGGGGCCUUCAUGGAGAACCUCUGCUAGAGCAGUGCAGAAGGGAAAUGUGGGGUCGGAGCCCCCACACAGAGUCCCCGCUGCGGCCCUGCCUGAUGGAGCUGUGAGAAGUGGACCACCGUUCUCCAGACCCCAGAAUGGUAGAUCCACCGACAGCUUGCACCGUGUGCCUGGAAAAGCUGCAGACACUCAAUGCCAGCCUAUGAAAGCAGCCUGGAGGGAGGCUUUACCCUGCAAAGCCACAGAAGUGGAGCUGCCCAAGACCAUGGGAAUCCACCUCUUGCAUCAGUGUGACCUGGAUGUGAGACAUGGAGUCAAAGGAUAUCAUUUUGAAGCUUUAAGAUUUGACUGCCCUGCUGGAUUUCAGACUUGCAUGGGUCCUGUAGCCCCUUUGUUUUGGCCAAUUUCUCCCAUUUGGAAUGGCUAUAUUUACCCAAUGCUUAUACCACCAUUCUAUCUAGGAAGUAAAUAACUUGCUUUUGAUUUUACAGGCUCAUAGGCAGAAGGGAUUUGCCUUGUCUCAGAUGAGACUUUGGACUGCGGACUUUUGAGUUAAUGCUGAAAUGAGUUAAGACUUCGGAGGACUAUUGGGAAGGCAUGAUUGGUUUUGAAAUGUGAGGACAUGAGAUUUGGGAGGGGCCAGGGGUGGAAGGAUACGGUUGGGUUCUGUGUCCCCACCCAAGUCUUAUCUUGUAGCUCCCAUAACCCAUGUGUCUUGGGAGGGACCUGGUAAUUCAAUCAUGUGGGCUGGAUGCGGUUGCUCAUGCCUGUAAUCCCAGCACUUUGGGAGGCCAAGGGGGAGAUCACUUGCGAUCAGGAGUUUGAGACCAGCCUGGCCAACAUGGUGAAACCCCAUCUAUACUAAAAAUACAAAAAUUAGCCAGGCACGGUGGUGGGCACCUGUAAUCCCAGCUACUUGGGAGGCUGAGGCAUGAGAAUCACUUGAACCUGGAGGCGGAGGUUGCAGUGAGCCGAGAUCGCACCACUGCACUCCAGCCUGGGCGUCAAAGUGAAACUUAGUCUUAAAAAAAAAAAAAAAAAGAAGAAUGGGAGUGGGUCUUUCCUGUGCUGUCCUCAUGAUAGAGAAUAAGUCUUACAAGAUCUGAUGGUUUUAAAAAUGAGAGUUAUUUCUCUCUUCUCUUGUCUGCCACCAUGUGAGUCAUGCCUUUCACCUUCCACCAUGAUUGUGAGGCCUCCCCAGCCACGUGGAACUGUAAGUCCAAUAAACCUCUUUCUUUUUUUUUUUUUUUUUUUUUUUUUUUGAGACGGAGUCUCACUCUGUUGCCCAGGCUGGAGUGCAGUGGCGCGAUCUCGGCUCACUGCAAGCUCCGCCUCCCAGGUUCACGCCAUUCUCCUGCCUCAGCCUCCCGUGUAGCAGGCAUUGUCACAGGCGCCUGCCACCACACCCACCUAAUUUUUUUGUAUUUUUAGUAGAGACGGGGUUUCACCGUGUUAGCCAGGGUGGUAUCGAUCUCCUGACCUUGUGAUCCGCCCACCUUGGGCUCCCAAAGUGUUGAGAUUACAGGCGUAAGCCACUGCACCCGGCAAUAAACCUCUUUCUUUUGUAAAUUGCCCAGGUAUGUCUUUAUCAGCAGCAUGAAAAUGGACUCAUACAAUGAUCCAUUACCUAGGGUAAAAUUCUCCUGAAUGUCAAACAGAGAUAAACUACAUUUGGGUUUUGGGUAAGUCCCCUGUAAUGAUGAAUCAAGAAUCCUCAAGUCUGUCUUGCCACCCAUUUAAUACGUAUUUUUGUUAAGGCUGAAGUUUAGAGUUAGAAUCAGGACAUUUUGGCCUAUUGAGAGGUUCUGAAUUCCAACAGAAGAUGCCAUGUAAAUCAGUGAAUUUGAUUCUUUUAAAAGCAACUUACAAAAUUUACAAGAUGUAUUCAAUAAAGCAGUUUAGCUUUGGUAUAU